Molecule: ribosomal RNA, 253 nt
Filed under: uncultured bacterium
Lineage: Bacteria
Description: partial 16S ribosomal RNA
Rfam family: Bacterial small subunit ribosomal RNA
Source: RNAcentral
UACAGAGGUCCCAAGCGUUGUUCGGAUUCACUGGGCGUAAAGGGUGCGCAGGUGGGCUGGUAAGUUCGAUGUGAAAGCCCCGGGCUUAACCCGGGAAAGGCAUUGGAUACUACUGGUCUGGAGGAUUGGAGGGGGGACUGGAAUUCUUGGUGUAGCAGUGAAAUGCGUAGAUAUCAAGAGGAACACCAGUGGCGAAGGCGAGUCCCUGGACAAUACCUGACACUGAGGCACGAAAGCUAGGGGAGCGAAUGGG